GAUGAAGAACGUAGCGAAAUGCGAUAAGUAACGUGAAUUGCAGAAUUCAGUGAAUCAUCGAAUCUUUGAACGCACAUUGCGCCCCCUGGUAUUCCGGGGGGCAUGCCUGUCCGAGCGUCAUUACAACCCUCAAGCUCAGCUUGGUGUUGGGCCCCGCCGCCCCGGCGGGCCCUAAAGUCAGUGGCGGUGCCGUCCGGCUCCGAGCGUAGUAAUUCUUCUCGCUCUGGAGGUCCGGUCGUGUGCUCGCCAGCAACCCCCAAUUUUUUUCAGGUUGACCUCGGAUCAGGUAGGGAUACCCGCUGAACUUAAGCAUAUCAAUAAGCGGAGGA
RNAcentral lists this unclassified non-coding RNA (329 nucleotides) under soil metagenome. Its description in RNAcentral is "partial contains 5.8S ribosomal RNA, internal transcribed spacer 2, and large subunit ribosomal RNA". The stretch from base 1 to 120 matches the Rfam family "5.8S ribosomal RNA", at positions 35 to 154 of the family's 154-position model. The record is from RNAcentral.